This 137-nucleotide ribosomal RNA is filed under the name uncultured bacterium. Its description in RNAcentral is "partial 16S ribosomal RNA". It matches the Rfam family "Bacterial small subunit ribosomal RNA", at positions 355 to 509 of the family's 1533-position model. The record is from RNAcentral.
UGAGGGAUAUUGGUCAAUGGGGGGAACCCUGAACCAGCAACGCCGCGUGAGGGAAGACGGUUUUCGGAUUGUAAACCUCUGUCCUCUGUGAAGAUAAUGACGGUAGCAGAGGAGGAAGCUCCGGCUAACUACGUGCC